CCUACGGGUGGCAGCAGUAGGGAAUAUUGCUCAAUGGGGGAAACCCUGAAGCAGCAACGCCGCGUGGAGGAUGAAGGUUUUCGGUUUGUUAACUCCUUUUGUUAGAGAAGAGAAUUACGGUAUCUAACCAAUAUUCACCGGCCAACUCCGUUCCAGCAGCCGCGGUAAUACGGAGGGUGCAAGCGUUACUCGGAAUCACUGGGCGUAAAGGGCGCGUAGGGGGGUUAGCAAGUCAGAUGUGAAAUCCUUGGGGUUAACCGUAGAACUGCAUUUGAAACUGUUAUUCUAGAGUUUGGGAGAGGUAGGUGGAAUUCUUGGUGUAGAGGUGAAAUGCGUAGAGAUCAAGAGGAAUACUGAUUGCGAAGGCGGCCUGCUAGAACAUAACUGACGCUGAUGCGCGAAAGCGUGGGGAGCAAACAGGAUUAGAUACCCCUGUAGUC
RNAcentral lists this ribosomal RNA (440 nucleotides) under uncultured bacterium. RNAcentral's name for it is "partial 16S ribosomal RNA". It matches the Rfam family "Bacterial small subunit ribosomal RNA", at positions 338 to 795 of the family's 1533-position model. The record is from RNAcentral.